This 494-nucleotide ribosomal RNA is filed under the name uncultured bacterium. RNAcentral describes it as "partial 16S ribosomal RNA". It matches the Rfam family "Bacterial small subunit ribosomal RNA", at positions 28 to 507 of the family's 1533-position model. The record is from RNAcentral.
GACGAACGCUGGCGGCGUGCUUAACACAUGCAAGUCGAACGGUGAAGCGCCUUCCUUUUUGGUGGGUGUGGAUGAGUGGCGAACGGGUGAGUAACACGUGAGUAACCUGCCCCCUUCUUCUGGAUAACCGCAUGAAAGUGUGGCUAAUACGGGAUAUUCUGGGUCUGUCGCAUGAUGGGUCUGGGAAAGAUAUUGUUUCGGUGGGGGAUGGGCUCGCGGCCUAUCAGCUGGUUGGUGGGGUGAUGGCCUACCAAGGCGGUGACGGGUAGCCGGCCUGGGAGGGUGGACGGUCACACUGGGACUGAGACACGGCCCAGACUCCUACGGGAGGCAGCAGUGGGGAAUAUUGAACAAUGGGCGCAAGCCUGAUGCAGCGACGCCGCGUGAGGGAUGGAGGCCUUCGGGUUGUGAACCUCUUUCGCCAGUGAAGCAGGCCUGCCUCGUUUGUGGGUGGGUUGACGGUAGCUGGAUAAGAAGCGCCGGCUAACUACGUG